CCCUAUGUGACCUACCGCCGUUGCCUCGGCGGGCCGCGCUUACCUGCCCGGUAGCGCGCUACGGGCCCGCCGGUGGACUGCUAAACUCUGUUAUUUAUAAGUAUCUCUGAAUGCUUCAACUUAAUAAGUUAAAACUUUCAACAACGGAUCUCUUGGUUCUGGCAUCGAUGAAGAACGCAGCGAAAUGCGAUAAGUAAUGUGAAUUGCAGAAUUCAGUGAAUCAUCGAAUCUUUGAACGCACAUUGCGCCCAUUAGUAUUCUAGUGGGCAUGCCUGUUCGAGCGUCAUUUCAACCCUUAAGCCCUGCUGCUUAGUGUUGGGAGUCUAGGUCCCAGGGCCUAGUUCCUCAAAGUUAUUGGCGGAGUUGGGGUAUACUCUGAGCGUAGUAGUGUUCUUCUCGCUUUUGCAGUAGCCCUGGCGGCUUGCCGUAAAACCCCUAUAUCUUAGUGGUUGACCUCGAAUCAGGUAGGAAUACCCGCUGAACUUAAGCAUAUCA
RNAcentral lists this ribosomal RNA (495 nucleotides) under Nodulisporium sp. SW1. Its description in RNAcentral is "eukaryotic LSU rRNA". The stretch from base 133 to 286 matches the Rfam family "5.8S ribosomal RNA". The record is from RNAcentral. Lineage: Eukaryota; Fungi; Ascomycota; Sordariomycetes; Xylariales; Xylariaceae.